This 254-nucleotide ribosomal RNA is filed under the name uncultured bacterium. RNAcentral's name for it is "partial 16S ribosomal RNA". It matches the Rfam family "Bacterial small subunit ribosomal RNA", at positions 524 to 776 of the family's 1533-position model. The record is from RNAcentral.
UACGGAGGGUGCAAACGUUGCUCGGAAUCAUUGGGCGUAAAGCGCACGUAGGCGGUCUGGUAAGUCGGAUGUGAAAUCCCUCGGCUCAACCGAGGAAGUGCAUUCGAAACUGUCAGACUUGAAUAUGGAAGAGGGUCGUGGAAUUCCCGGUGUAGAGGUGAAAUUCGUAGAUAUCGGGAGGAACACCAGUGGCGAAGGCGGCGACCUGGGCCAAUAUUGACGCUGAGGUGCGAAAGCGUGGGGGAGCAAACAGG